AAACUAACAAGGAUUCCCCUAGUAGCGGCGAGCGAAGCGGGAAGAGCUCAAAUUUAUAAUCUGGCACUUUCAGUGUCCGAGUUGUAAUCUCUAGAAGUGUUUUCCGCGUUGGACCGCACACAAGUCUGUUGGAAUACAGCGGCACAGUGGUGACACCCCCGUACACGGUGCGGACGCCCAGCGCUUUGUGAUACACUUUCGAAGAGUCGAGUUGUUUGGGAAUGCAGCUCAAAUUGGGUGGUAAAUUCCAUCUAAAGCUAAAUAUUGGCGAGAGACCGAUAGCGAACAAGUACCGUGAGGGAAAGAUGAAAAGCACUUUGGAAAGAGAGUUAACAGUACGUGAAAUUGUUGGAAGGGAAACGCUUGAAGUCAGACUUGCUUGCCGGAGCUUGCUUCGGUUUGCAGGCCAGCAUCAGUUUUCCGGGGUGGAUAAUGGCGGUUAGAAGGUAGCAGCUUCAGCUGUGUUAUAGCUUUCCGCUGGAUACAUCCUGGGGGACUGAGGAACGCAGCGUGCUUUUAGCGGGGGUUUCGACCUCUUCACGCUUAGGAUGCUGGUGUAAUGGCUUUAAACGACC
RNAcentral lists this ribosomal RNA (575 nucleotides) under Rhodotorula paludigena. Its description in RNAcentral is "LSU rRNA". It matches the Rfam family "Eukaryotic large subunit ribosomal RNA", at positions 62 to 649 of the family's 3401-position model. Lineage: Eukaryota; Fungi; Basidiomycota; Microbotryomycetes; Sporidiobolales; Sporidiobolaceae. The record is from RNAcentral.